This 312-nucleotide ribosomal RNA is filed under the name Oroperipatus eisenii. RNAcentral's name for it is "partial small subunit ribosomal RNA". The record is from RNAcentral. Lineage: Eukaryota; Metazoa; Onychophora; Udeonychophora; Euonychophora; Peripatidae.
CCUAAGAGAUUUUAAUCAAAAAACUUUGACGGUAUUAAUAUUUAUAAAGGAGUUUGUUUUUUAAUAGAUAACCCACAAUUUACCUUACUUAAAUUAUAUUUGUAUAUCACCGUAUAGAUUUUAUUUAAAAUUUCAUAAUGAAUAAUUUCAAAAUAUCAGGUCAUAACGCAGUUUUUUUAAGAUAAAAUGAACUACAGUAAUUUAUUAUAAACAGAUUAUUUUUUGAAAUAAAAAUAUGAAGAAGGAUUUAUUAGUAAAUAAAAAAUAAAUUAUUAUAUUGAAAAUUAUUAUUAAUAUGUACAUAUCGCCCGU